RNAcentral lists this ribosomal RNA (801 nucleotides) under uncultured Rubrobacter sp. Its description in RNAcentral is "bacterial SSU rRNA". It matches the Rfam family "Bacterial small subunit ribosomal RNA", at positions 8 to 796 of the family's 1533-position model. The record is from RNAcentral. Lineage: Bacteria; Bacillati; Actinomycetota; Rubrobacteria; Rubrobacterales; Rubrobacteraceae.
AGAGUUUGAUCAUGGCUCAGGACGAACGCUGACGGUGUGCUUUAGGCAUGCAAGUCGAACGAGAAAGCCCUUCGGGGUGAGUAAAGUGGCGAACGGGUGAGUAACACGUGGGCAACCUGCCCCUCGCAGGGGGACAACCGGAGGAAACUCCGGCUAAUACCCCGUAAGCUCUACACGCCGCAUGGCGAGUAGAGGAAAGGUAGCUUCGGCCAUCCGGCGAGGGAUGGGCCCGCGGUGCAUUAGCUAGUUGGUGGGGUAACGGCCCACCAAGGCGACGAUGCGUAGCUGGUCUGAGAGGAUGAUCAGCCACACUGGGACUGAGACACGGCCCAGACUCCUACGGGAGGCAGCAGCCAGGAAUCUUGGGCAAUGGGCGAAAGCCUGACCCAGCAACACCGUGUGGGUGAUGAAGGCCUUCGGGUCGUAAAGCCCUGUUGAUAGGGACGAAGGGCGAAGGGUUAAUAGCCCGGAGCUUGACGGUACCUUUCGAGGAAGCCCCGGCUAACUACGUGCCAGCAGCCGCGGUAAUACGUAGGGGGCGAGCGUUGUCCGGAAUUAUUGGGCGUAAAGAGCGUGUAGGCGGUUCGGUAAGUCUGUCGUGAAAUCCUGGGGCUCAACCCUGGGCGUGCGAUGGAUACUGCCGGGCUAGAGGGUGGUAGAGGCGAGUGGAAUUCCCGGUGUAGCGGUGAAAUGCGCAGAUAUCGGGAGGAACACCAGUAGCGAAGGCGGCUCGCUGGGCCACACCUGACGCUGAGACGCGAAAGCUAGGGGAGCGAACAGGAUUAGAUACCCCCGUAGUCC